AUACAGGUCUUCCCUAUUUAAUGUAGAUGGAGAUUACAUAAGAACAUGAAUACCAGAAAACAGGGAGUAUUGAGGGCCAUCUUGGAGGUUGACCACGAUGGAAUGUAACUAAGGAAAGAUCCAGAAUGUAUGGAGGACCACACAAAUCUAUGGAAAGCAUUCAUCACUUCCUACCCCCUCCCUCUAGCUCACCAAAGAAGACUGGCGACAAGGCAGACUUUGUGCCAUCAGUCAUCCAGAGCAAUCCAGGCCUUCAGUUAUAUACACUCCCCAAGGAAAGACGUGUAUGGAAAUAUCAUUGUUUCUUUAGGGGACCUGACAUCCUCUGCUUGGGACCCCAGAUGCUAGUUCCUGCUUGUCAAUACAAUUCUCAUAUUGUUCCUGCCAUAAAUGAACAUAAGAGCUGAGGAAGCUCAGAGUCCAAGAAGGAAUGACUCCAUGACCUGAGGAAGAUGGCCAGGGAAUGGAACACCCAUGAUGUCCUUGAAAUCCUCUACCUGCCCUAAAUAGGACUCUUCCCAAUGUCUUAUAUCUACUGCCAUAAGUAAUCACAGCAACGCAACCAUCUCAGCAUGAACAUCCCCACGUACAGAUGAGAACCCCAGCUGACAGCAGUCAGCCAACUUGCCUAAGAAAACUUCAGCUAGAGAAGCGCCGGAGGAAAUGCAGACACCCAGUGUUCCAAUUCUAGAUUUCUUAACCUAUUUCACAGAUGAAAACUGAGCCCUGUUUCAAGUUCCUAUAAUUUUUUCUUCUCUCAUCCUCCCCUCUUUGGUCAUGUACAUCCCAGUCCAUUUGCAAAUGACUCUGAGGACAAUAAGGUGGCAGUCCUCUGGGUCAGAGGGGGUGUGGGGCAAAAAGAAAAUAAACACAUCCUUUUUAUACUUUAUUAUUUCUCUCGAAGUGCUGAAAGCCUUAGAGAGGUGCAGAAGUCUUGGUCACUGAUAUUGGUGAGAGAGCCAUAGUGCCAUAUCAGCGUGAUCUAGUGAAGGGAGGUCAGGGUUUCUGAGGAAGGGGUGAAGAAGGAGACAAUCCUUUUAUUUUCUUUAUAAUUUUAUUUAUUUGUUUAUUUAUUUAUUUAUUUAUUCAUUCAUUCAUUGAGAGAGAGAGAGAC
Neofelis nebulosa (Clouded leopard) is the source of this 1114-nucleotide long non-coding RNA. RefSeq lists it as uncharacterized. Lineage: Eukaryota; Metazoa; Chordata; Mammalia; Carnivora; Felidae. The transcript is spliced from 3 exons. The record is from RefSeq and is a predicted model, not a curated record.